UAAUCUCAGCUGGCAACUGUGAGCAGUUCAUAAAUUCUCUCACAGUUGUAUCUGGGAUUAUG
This 62-nucleotide microRNA precursor is filed under the name Alligator mississippiensis (American alligator). RNAcentral's name for it is "Ami-Mir-216-P2b_pre stem-loop". It matches the Rfam family "mir-216 microRNA precursor family", at positions 9 to 70 of the family's 77-position model. Lineage: Eukaryota; Metazoa; Chordata; Crocodylia; Alligatoridae. The record is from RNAcentral.